CCAAUAGCGUAUAUUAAAGUUGUUGCAGUUAAAAAGCUCGUAGUUGAAUUUCGGGAUCAAUACGUCGGUCGUGCUUUCGGGUACGUACUGGCGUCAUUGGUUUCUCCUUUCUGACGAACCAUGAUGUCAUUAAUUUGGUGUUAUGGGGAGUUAGGACUGUUACUUUGAAAAAAUUAGAGUGUUUAAAGCAAGCUAACGCUUGAAUACAUUAGCAUGGAAUAAUGAAAUAGGACGUUCGAUCCUAUUUUGUUGGUUUCUAGGAUUGACGUAAUGAUUAAUAGGGAUAGUUGGGGGCAUUAGUAUUCAAUUGUCAGAGGUGAAAUUCUUGGAUUUAUUGAAGACUAACUACUGCGAAAGCAUUUGCCAAGGAUGUUUUCAUUAAUCAAGAACGAAAGUUAGGGGAUCGAAGACGAUCAGAUACCGUCGUAGUCUUAACCAUAAACUAUGCCGACUAGGGAUCGGAUGAUGUUAAUUUUUUAAUGACUCAUUCGGCGCCUUACG
This 501-nucleotide ribosomal RNA is filed under the name uncultured Glomeromycotina. Its description in RNAcentral is "SSU rRNA". It matches the Rfam family "Eukaryotic small subunit ribosomal RNA", at positions 591 to 1092 of the family's 1831-position model. The record is from RNAcentral. Lineage: Eukaryota; Fungi; Glomeromycota.